GAUGAACGCUGGCGGCGUGCCUAAUACAUGCAAGUCGAGCGAACAGACGAGGAGCUUGCUCCUCUGACGUUAGCGGCGGACGGGUGAGUAACACGUGGAUAACCUACCUAUAAGACUGGGAUAACUUCGGGAAACCGGAGCUAAUACCGGAUAAUAUAUUGAACCGCAUGGUUCAAUAGUGAAAGACGGUUUUGCUGUCACUUAUAAAUGGAUCCGCGCCGCAUUAGCUAGUUGGUAAGGUAACGGCUUACCAAGGCAGCGAUGCGUAGCCGACCUGAGAGGGUGAUCGGCCACACUGGAACUGAGACACGGUCCAGACUCCUACGGGAGGCAGCAGUAGGGAAUCUUCCGCAAUGGGCGAAAGCCUGACGGAGCAACGCCGCGUGAGUGAUGAAGGUCUUCGGAUCGUAAAACUCUGUUAUUAGGGAAGAACAAAUGUGUAAGUAACUAUGCACGUCUUGACGGUACCUAAUCAGAAAGCCACGGCUAACUACGUG
This 497-nucleotide ribosomal RNA is filed under the name uncultured bacterium. Its description in RNAcentral is "partial 16S ribosomal RNA". It matches the Rfam family "Bacterial small subunit ribosomal RNA", at positions 28 to 507 of the family's 1533-position model. The record is from RNAcentral.